RNAcentral lists this ribosomal RNA (382 nucleotides) under uncultured eukaryote. RNAcentral's name for it is "partial 18S ribosomal RNA". It matches the Rfam family "Eukaryotic small subunit ribosomal RNA", at positions 592 to 976 of the family's 1831-position model. The record is from RNAcentral.
UGUAAGCGUAUACCAAAGUUGUUGCAGUUAAAACGCUCGUAGUCGGAAUUUGGCAGUUCCGGAUGUUUGCACGUCGUGUGCGCACUUCGCGGGGAUUGCUUUUGUGGUCUUGCGUAGGAUGAGGCACUUUUAUUAGUGAACGUCCUCACGCAACCACUUUUUACUGUGAGAAAAUCAGAGUGCUCAAAGCAGGCAUUUGCCGUGAAUGUAUUAGCAUGGAAUAAUAGAAUAGGACUUGGUUCUAUUUUGUUGGUUUGUUGGGACUGAGUAAUGAUUAAGAGGGACAGUUGGGGGCAUUUGUAUUUCGGUGCUAGAGGUGAAAUUCUUAGAUUACCGAAAGACAAACUGCUGCGAAAGCGUCUGCCAAGGAUGUUUUCAUUGA